AGAGAAAUUUAGGAAAAAUACUCUAAUUUCUGAAAUAUUUGUAAAACUUACCUCAUGGUCAAAAAGUUAAAGAAAAUACUCUCCCUUUUGACAUUUUUAUAUUUUUACUCUAAUAUAUUUAUAAUUUAUUUAUUUACUCCGUAUAUUACUUAUAAUACUCUGUAAUCUGUUAAUUUUACUCUUCUUCCUCUUUUAGAGAUCUCGUUGUUAUACCCAAUCGCUGAUACAGAAGCACCACCACCGUCGUUGCCUGUUUAUGGCAACCCUUUCGACAUGGCUCACUAUGCUUGCCCCACUUGUCUUUCGCCGGAGCAACCCAAUUUGUCAUCCCAUCCAUCUACCGAUAUACAUCGCCGCCACUCCAUCGUUGCUGUCUCUAAAUAUAGCUUGAUGUUGUUGCACUUGCAGAGACGCCGUUGUCGCUUCGUAUGUAUUCGAUUUUUCUUGCCAAACUUGUGCCUGGACGCUUGCAGAGACGUUUUUCCAGAUAUCUGUUGAUUGCCCAAGAACUUUACCUCAUAUGACUUUCUUUCAGCAAGAACAAGUUCAGAAAUCUAUGGAGCUUAUUUUGUAUAGAUAGUAAGAAAUUAAUCUCGUCUUUCCACUUUUUUUGUAUUUGAAUGUUGUUUUUCUUUAUCUCUUAUUUUUUGGCACUGCAUAAUUUGCUUUAUAGAUCCCCAAUCAACUGGAAAACAAAUUUCAAAUUAUGACAGUGUCCCGAGGAAGAAAUUUGGAAGGAGCAAUGAAAGACUGAAGAGUAUGCUAAACUUCUUUGUUGGGAGAAGAAGCAUGAACACGACUAGAUGGUCAUUUAGUAGAAGAGAAUAAUUGUCGAGUCGGGUUUGGCAGAAGAGAGCAAGUGUUCUAGUAGACAAAAUAAUUCUUAAGCUGCCAUUUGCAGAUUUACAGACCCAAAUUAUGUGUGGCAUAAACAUGUAGAGUAAUAAAUUUGGAUUUAUGUUUUAGUCUCAGUGCAUUAUGUACAUGUGCAAUGUAUAAUUUAGCUAAAUGAUAUCUUUUUGGUUAA
This is an RNA transcript of Mercurialis annua (annual mercury), 1027 nucleotides long. RefSeq lists it as uncharacterized. NCBI's taxonomy places the organism in Eukaryota, Viridiplantae, Streptophyta, Magnoliopsida, Malpighiales, Euphorbiaceae. The transcript has 2 exons. The record is from RefSeq and is a predicted model, not a curated record.